CGGGCUCCUGGCUCGGCGUGCGGGCGUACGGCCUGCUGGGCUGGGGCGGGGUGGCGGGUCUCGUCGCGGUGCUGGGCGCGCUGGCGCUCGUCC
RNAcentral lists this transfer RNA (93 nucleotides) under Streptomyces sp. TS71-3. RNAcentral describes it as "tRNA-Ser". The record is from RNAcentral. Lineage: Bacteria; Bacillati; Actinomycetota; Actinomycetes; Kitasatosporales; Streptomycetaceae.